CCAUGUCAAAUUCAAGCAUACAUAUGAUGCAUGUUUUGUCUCUCAAAUUUAUCAAUCUAGCCAGCAACCUUCCAGAAGGGAAAAUCUAGUGUUAACUACAUGAAUCCUUUUCUGUGCUAAACCUUGCAUUUAUCCUUAUGUUGAAUUACAAAUAUUAUAUCAUGUGCAGACCCAAACUCCUCCCCACCCCCAAUAUCAAACCUUAUCCCCACAUUUUUGUGCGCAGGAGCUCAGAUAUUUCCAAAU
RNAcentral lists this unclassified non-coding RNA (246 nucleotides) under Hevea brasiliensis (rubber tree). The record is from RNAcentral. Lineage: Eukaryota; Viridiplantae; Streptophyta; Magnoliopsida; Malpighiales; Euphorbiaceae.